RNAcentral lists this transfer RNA (76 nucleotides) under Erysipelotrichaceae bacterium. RNAcentral describes it as "tRNA-Gln". It matches the Rfam family "tRNA". Rfam says of the family: Transfer RNA (tRNA) molecules are approximately 80 nucleotides in length. The record is from RNAcentral. Lineage: Bacteria; Bacillati; Bacillota; Erysipelotrichia; Erysipelotrichales; Erysipelotrichaceae. RNAcentral also lists the same sequence under 1 other name.
UGGGAUAUAGCCAAGCGGUAAGGCAACUGGCUCUGAACCAGUCAUCUCGGGAGUUCGAAUCUCUCUAUCCCAGCCA